This 1991-nucleotide ribosomal RNA is filed under the name Shigella sonnei. RNAcentral describes it as "partial 23S ribosomal RNA". It matches the Rfam family "Bacterial large subunit ribosomal RNA", at positions 956 to 2925 of the family's 2925-position model. Lineage: Bacteria; Pseudomonadati; Pseudomonadota; Gammaproteobacteria; Enterobacterales; Enterobacteriaceae. The record is from RNAcentral.
GCGAAUACCGGAGAAUGUUAUCACGGGAGACACACGGCGGGUGCUAACGUCCGUCGUGAAGAGGGAAACAACCCAGACCGCCAGCUAAGGUCCCAAAGUCAUGGUUAAGUGGGAAACGAUGUGGGAAGGCCCAGACAGCCAGGAUGUUGGCUUAGAAGCAGCCAUCAUUUAAAGAAAGCGUAAUAGCUCACUGGUCGAGUCGGCCUGCGCGGAAGAUGUAACGGGGCUAAACCAUGCACCGAAGCUGCGGCAGCGACGCUUAUGCGUUGUUGGGUAGGGGAGCGUUCUGUAAGCCUGCGAAGGUGUGCUGUGAGGCAUGCUGGAGGUAUCAGAAGUGCGAAUGCUGACAUAAGUAACGAUAAAGCGGGUGAAAAGCCCGCUCGCCGGAAGACCAAGGGUUCCUGUCCAACGUUAAUCGGGGCAGGGUGAGUCGACCCCUAAGGCGAGGCCGAAAGGCGUAGUCGAUGGGAAACAGGUUAAUAUUCCUGUACUUGGUGUUACUGCGAAGGGGGGACGGAGAAGGCUAUGUUGGCCGGGCGACGGUUGUCCCGGUUUAAGCGUGUAGGCUGGUUUUCCAGGCAAAUCCGGAAAAUCAAGGCUGAGGCGUGAUGACGAGGCACUACGGUGCUGAAGCAACAAAUGCCCUGCUUCCAGGAAAAGCCUCUAAGCAUCAGGUAACAUCAAAUCGUACCCCAAACCGACACAGGUGGUCAGGUAGAGAAUACCAAGGCGCUUGAGAGAACUCGGGUGAAGGAACUAGGCAAAAUGGUGCCGUAACUUCGGGAGAAGGCACGCUGAUAUGUAGGUGAAGUCCCUUGCGGAUGGAGCUGAAAUCAGUCGAAGAUACCAGCUGGCUGCAACUGUUUAUUAAAAACACAGCACUGUGCAAACACGAAAGUGGACGUAUACGGUGUGACGCCUGCCCGGUGCCGGAAGGUUAAUUGAUGGGGUCAGCGCAAGCGAAGCUCUUGAUCGAAGCCCCGGUAAACGGCGGCCGUAACUAUAACGGUCCUAAGGUAGCGAAAUUCCUUGUCGGGUAAGUUCCGACCUGCACGAAUGGCGUAAUGAUGGCCAGGCUGUCUCCACCCGAGACUCAGUGAAAUUGAACUCGCUGUGAAGAUGCAGUGUACCCGCGGCAAGACGGAAAGACCCCGUGAACCUUUACUAUAGCUUGACACUGAACAUUGAGCCUUGAUGUGUAGGAUAGGUGGGAGGCUUUGAAGUGUGGACGCCAGUCUGCAUGGAGCCGGCCUUGAAAUACCACCCUUUAAUGUUUGAUGUUCUAACGUGGACCCGUGAUCCGGGUUGCGGACAGUGUCUGGUGGGUAGUUUGACUGGGGCGGUCUCCUCCUAAAGAGUAACGGAGGAGCACGAAGGUUGGCUAAUCCUGGUCGGACAUCAGGAGGUUAGUGCAAUGGCAUAAGCCAGCUUGACUGCGAGCGUGACGGCGCGAGCAGGUGCGAAAGCAGGUCAUAGUGAUCCGGUGGUUCUGAAUGGAAGGGCCAUCGCUCAACGGAUAAAAGGUACUCCGGGGAUAACAGGCUGAUACCGCCCAAGAGUUCAUAUCGACGGCGGUGUUUGGCACCUCGAUGUCGGCUCAUCACAUCCUGGGGCUGAAGUAGGUCCCAAGGGUAUGGCUGUUCGCCAUUUAAAGUGGUACGCGAGCUGGGUUUAGAACGUCGUGAGACAGUUCGGUCCCUAUCUGCCGUGGGCGCUGGAGAACUGAGGGGGGCUGCUCCUAGUACGAGAGGACCGGAGUGGACGCAUCACUGGUGUUCGGGUUGUCAUGCCAAUGGCACUGCCCGGUAGCUAAAUGCGGAAGAGAUAAGUGCUGAAAGCAUCUAAGCACGAAACUUGCCCCGAGAUGAGUUCUCCCUGACCCUUUAAGGGUCCUGAAGGAACGUUGAAGACGACGACGUUGAUAGGCCGGGUGUGUAAGCGCAGCGAUGCGUUGAGCUAACCGGUACUAAUGAACCGUGAGGCUUAACCUU